RNAcentral lists this ribosomal RNA (303 nucleotides) under Acanthamoeba polyphaga. Its description in RNAcentral is "SSU rRNA". It matches the Rfam family "Eukaryotic small subunit ribosomal RNA", at positions 805 to 1081 of the family's 1831-position model. The record is from RNAcentral. Lineage: Eukaryota; Discosea; Longamoebia; Acanthamoebidae.
UAGCAUGGGAUAAUGGAAUAGGACCCUGUCCUCCUAUUUUCAGUUGGUUUUGGCAGCGCGAGGACUAGGGUAAUGAUUAAUAGGGAUAGUUGGGGGCAUUAAUAUUUAAUUGUCAGAGGUGAAAUUCUUGGAUUUAUGAAAGAUUAACUUCUGCGAAAGCAUCUGCCAAGGAUGUUUUCAUUAAUCAAGAACGAAAGUUAGGGGAUCGAAGACGAUCAGAUACCGUCGUAGUCUUAACCUAAACGAUGCCGACCAGCGAUUAGGAGACGUUGAAUACAAAACACCACCAUCGGUGCGGCUGUU